AGUGAACGCUGGCGGUAGGCCUAACACAUGCAAGUCGAACGGCAGCACAGUAAGAGCUUGCUCUUACGGGUGGCGAGUGGCGGACGGGUGAGGAAUACAUCGGAAUCUACUUUUUCGUGGGGGAUAACGUAGGGAAACUUACGCUAAUACCGCAUACGACCUACGGGUGAAAGCAGGGGAUCUUCGGACCUUGCGCGAUUGAAUGAGCCGAUGUCGGAUUAGCUAGUUGGCGGGGUAAAGGCCCACCAAGGCGACGAUCCGUAGCUGGUCUGAGAGGAUGACACGCCACAGUGGAACAGAGACGGGUCCCAGCCCCCGGCGGGGGGCAGCAGGGGGGAAUAUGGGACAAGGGGCCAAACCCGUACCCAGCAAUCCCGGGGGGGGGAAGAGGGCCUUCGGUUUGUAAACCCUUUUUGUGGGGAAAAAAAAGAGGCAGUUUAACCCCCCGCUGUUCUGACGCGCCCAAAAAAAAAACCCCGGCCUAACUUCGUC
This 492-nucleotide ribosomal RNA is filed under the name uncultured bacterium. Its description in RNAcentral is "partial 16S ribosomal RNA". It matches the Rfam family "Bacterial small subunit ribosomal RNA", at positions 29 to 507 of the family's 1533-position model. The record is from RNAcentral.